CAGCAGCCGCGGGAAUACGGAGGGUGCAAGCGUUAAUCGGAAUUACUGGGCGUAAAGCGCACGCAGGCGGUCUGUCAAGUCAGAUGUGAAAUCCCCGGGCUUAACCUGGGAACUGCAUUUGAAACUGGCAGGCUAGAGUCUUGUAGAGGGGGGUAGAAUUCCAGGUGUAGCGGUGAAAUGCGUAGAGAUCUGGAGGAAUACCGGUGGCGAAGGCGGCCCCCUGGACAAAGACUGACGCUCAGGUGCGAAAGCGUGGGGAGCAAACAGGAUUAGAGACCCCGGUAGUCCCUGUCUCUUAUAC
This 301-nucleotide ribosomal RNA is filed under the name uncultured bacterium. RNAcentral's name for it is "partial 16S ribosomal RNA". It matches the Rfam family "Bacterial small subunit ribosomal RNA", at positions 509 to 807 of the family's 1533-position model. The record is from RNAcentral.